AUAUGCAUAUAAAAAUUUGAACUAUAAAAUAAGCAUGUCAUGCAUGAAAACUAGUUUACUUGAUAGAUCAAAUCUACAACUACUAGGACUCCGAACCCUAUACCUAAGUGCAGAUUGAUGAUCAUCAUUGCUGAUAGAUGUGGAAAUAAAUUCUUUCUAAUGUUGAGCAGCCACACAGCACGUCCGACCUCUACAGGACGUCCACUUGAAGCCCUGAUC
This 219-nucleotide long non-coding RNA is filed under the name Elaeis guineensis (African oil palm). RNAcentral describes it as "long non-coding RNA (EGUI_LNC058756)". Lineage: Eukaryota; Viridiplantae; Streptophyta; Magnoliopsida; Arecales; Arecaceae. The record is from RNAcentral.